This 28-nucleotide small RNA is filed under the name Bombyx mori (domestic silkworm). RNAcentral describes it as "piRNA piR-bmo-1478029". Lineage: Eukaryota; Metazoa; Arthropoda; Insecta; Lepidoptera; Bombycidae. The record is from RNAcentral.
UAGUACGAAAUUUUAUUCGCAGUGUGUA